CCUACGGGAGGCAGCAGUGAGGAAUAUUGGUCAAUGGACGCGAGUCUGAACCAGCCAAGCAGCGUGAAGGAUGACUGCCCUAUGGGUUGUAAACUUCUUUUAUAUGGGAAUAAAAUGUUCCACGUGUGGGAUUUUGUAUGUACCAUAUGAAUAAGGAUCGGCUAACUCCGUGCCAGCAGCCGCGGUAAUACGGAGGAUCCGAGGGUAAUGCGGAUUUAUUGGGGUUAAAGGGAGCGUAGGUGGAUUGUUAAGUCAGUUGUGAAAGUUUGCGGCUCAACCGUAAAAUUGCAGUUGAAACUGGCAGGCUUGAGUAUAGUAGAGGUGGGCGGAAUUCGUGGUGUAGCGGUGAAAUGCGUAGAGAUCACGAAGAACUCCGAUUGCGAAGGCAGCUCACUGGAC
Molecule: ribosomal RNA, 399 nt
Filed under: uncultured bacterium
Lineage: Bacteria
Description: partial 16S ribosomal RNA
Rfam family: Bacterial small subunit ribosomal RNA
Source: RNAcentral